GGCCUCACCUCACCGGAAGUCUCUACCGGAAACAUCGCUAUUGUGCCUCUCCUUUUUUUUGUGUGUGUGUCUCUAUGGUAGUAACUGUCUUAUGUACGCCGGGCGCCGUUCGCGGAAGAAAUCCUUUCCGUGUGGGGGACAAUGGAGGCUGCGGAAGGCGUUGAGGUACGAGACCGCCGAAAGACUGACCAUGAACCGGACCGGCUGGCAGCCGAGGUGACCGGAACGACGGGGAACAUCUCCUGCGGGCCCCCUCUCUCCGGGACGUCCUACUGGCUGGACUUCUGGCUGAUGAUCCUCUUCGACUUCGUGCUCUUCGUCUUCGUUUAUCUGCUACCUUGAAGCGGCUGUAGCGAGGGACAACCAGACUGCCUUCAAGAAAAACCAGCUCCUUUAGCUGCUUUUGCUUCACAACCAAAAAUAAAGAACACUGGAAAACUGUUACAUCAGAAAUCUCAAAAACAACUGCUCUUUCUAUAUUUGAAUUGUUGACAUAGUUUUGCUGAGCAAUUAGAUAUGGUGAACUUGCUCUAUGAUGACCUGUCAUGUUUCACAUUAUUCUUCAAUGUACAAAUUCUGCCUUACGGCAAAUAUAACUAAUUGAAGUGUCACAACACUUUCAAUUAAGUUUGCAGUUGUCUAUUUUCAGCAAUCGACUCUUAUCGCCAUCCAAGUGGACGAGACAAAUAUCUCUGUAACAAUAAUGUAUGAUGAACUCUUAGCAUAAAAUGAGAAAAUGUAACCUGAUCAAUUCUGAGGGUUGUUUUAACUGAUUUUAUGUAAAGAAGUUGCAUAUAUUCUUCUCAAUAUGCAUUUGCCAUGUUUGAAGUUUUAAAGUACUUCGUGUUCAGCUUUGUGCCUUCAGAAGCAAUGUGUGCUUGGACUGUGCGGAUGAUAUUUUAUGAUCCUUAUGAUAUAUAAACACACCAACCAUUUGAAUAAAUUUUACUCUGUCUAAUGUGGUCCUGAUCCCCAUUAUACUUUGGAUUUGCCCUUUUGACGUUUCAUGUUCUAAAAGUAGAUUGAAAAGAAAGUCUGCAGACAUUCCUGUUAAUUUUCAUAAUUUAAAUGUUUUUCUUUUGAUUGGUUUUGUGCUCUACUCUCAAUAAUGUAUAAACUGAAUAUUUAUUACAUUUAUAUUCUAGAGUAAAUGGAUUCACCCUAUUUUUGUCAGGCUGGGACAAGGGGCUUUCUUUAAACAUUGAAUUAAUUCCAUUGAGCUUAUAAAUUUGUUGUGCUGAGCACAAGAUCUGAAGCAUUGGUGGAGGUAGGGUGAAGUUCUAAUGAGAUUGAAUUUGGGUUUAUUUUCUUUGAGAAAUUUGAGAGGGGGUUAUAUUUAAAGUAAAUUCAGUAUUGCUGUUCAACCUAUAUAUGUGUCAAUUCCUCCACAAGAAUUGACUAUAGCCAAGCAAUAAAAAAGGAAUGAAUCAAACAUA
Pantherophis guttatus is the source of this 1436-nucleotide long non-coding RNA. RefSeq lists it as uncharacterized. The record is from RefSeq and is a predicted model, not a curated record. Lineage: Eukaryota; Metazoa; Chordata; Lepidosauria; Squamata; Colubridae.